Agrilus planipennis (emerald ash borer) is the source of this 1163-nucleotide long non-coding RNA. RefSeq lists it as uncharacterized. The transcript has 2 exons. The record is from RefSeq and is a predicted model, not a curated record. Lineage: Eukaryota; Metazoa; Arthropoda; Insecta; Coleoptera; Buprestidae.
AACGAGUCGAAAGUUUCGCGUACUAUUUCUAUACGAUCUGUUCGCUCAGUGUGAAACAACCUUAAAAUCACAAUUAAAAUGCUACGUGAUGAAAGGAGUGUAUAAUUGUGAAAUAAACAUUCUCGGUUCUUUGAAACUGCAAAGGUUAAUUACGGAAUUAUUACAAACCAAUCACUUGUAUAUGUGAUUUCGUAUUACAUUUAUUUAAUUUUGUUGCAGAUGCAAGCUCGGAUUACAUUUGUAGCACGUGUAACAAAAAAUACAAACAUUAUAGAACUCUAAGACGACAUCAACGAUUAGAAUGUAAUAAAGAAGCCCAAGAAAUUUGUCAGUUUUGCCAGAAGCGUUUCAAGCAUCGACAUCAUUUAACAGUUCAUAUUUUGUUGGUUCAUAAUAAUAAUCAAAAUUCGUAAUCGUAAAUACAAAGGUAUAUUUAUUUAUUUUGAAAUGUUCAAAAGUAUUUUUUAAUUGUAAACACUAAAAUAUUACUGGUAGAUAUAUUAAUAUUUGUAUUUUCGUUAAAGAAAACUUAAAAUCUGUGUUUCUGUAGGUACUUUAAUAACAAUAAAUUAAUAUAUGACAAAUGGUAGCAUUUUACGUGGCUGUUUUAUUUUAUGUACUUUCAUGCUGUAGUAAGGCUUAUGACAGACUGUUCGCUCAGUGUGAAACAACCUUAAAAACACAAUCAAAAUGCUAUGUGAUGAAACGAGUGUAUAAUUGUGAAAUAAACAGUUAAAAAAUUUCCAGAUCUUUACUUAAUACGAUUAUAUAUACAAUUAAAUUUCAGUAUUAUUUGUUUCACAAAAGGUAUUUGGUAAGUGCUUAUUUGUUUUGUUUCAGGUAUGUACUGUCAUCAGCAAGUCAAUGUCUUUGAACCGAAAGUUUCAGGAGUAGAAAGGAGAAAUUUCAAAUGUGCUUACUGCAGUUAUUAUGUUUCUAAACAAAAACAUAAUCUAAAGCUGCAUGUCUUACGUGUACACGUGGAAAAAAUGAGAGAAUUUGAACGGAUUUAUAAAGAUCUUCAACCAUCUUGAUAACUGACGCCAACUCAAAUGUAUGAGCCUAAGGAAGAAAUAUUCCUGGAAUCUGACGAUCCUUUUGAGUGUAAGAAAGAAAAACAUUUCUUCCAAUGUCCUUACUGUCCUCGAACAGCUCAACAACAA